GAUGAACGCUGGCGGCGUGCCUAAUACAUGCAAGUCGAGCGAACGGACGAGAAGCUUGCUUCUCUGAUGUUAGCGGCGGACGGGUGAGUGACACGUGGAUAACCUACCUAUAAGACUGGGAUAACUUCGGGAAACCGGAGCUAAUACCAGAUAAUAUUUUGAACCGCAUGGUUCAAAAGUGAAAGACGGUCUUGCUGUCACUUAGAGAUGGAUCCGCGCUGCAUUAGCUAGUGGGUAAGGUAACGGCUUACCAAGGCAACGAUGCAUAGCCGACCUGAGAGGGUGAUCGGCCACACUGGAACUGAGACACGGUCCAGACUCCUACGGGAGGCAGCAGUAGGGAAUCUUCCGCAAUGGGCGAAAGCCUGACGGAGCAAUGCCGCGUGAGUGAUGAAGGUCUUCGGAUCGUAAAACUCUGUUAUUAGGGAAGAACAUAUGUGUAAGUAACUGUGCACAUCUUGACGGUACCUAAUCAGAAAGCAACGGCUAACUACGUG
This 497-nucleotide ribosomal RNA is filed under the name uncultured bacterium. Its description in RNAcentral is "partial 16S ribosomal RNA". It matches the Rfam family "Bacterial small subunit ribosomal RNA", at positions 28 to 507 of the family's 1533-position model. The record is from RNAcentral.